GAGGUGGGAGGAUCGCUUGAGCCCAGGAGGUCAAGGCUACAGUGAGCUGUGAUUGUGCCACUGCACUCCAGCCUGAGUGACAGAGCAAGACCCUGUCUCA
Macaca nemestrina (pig-tailed macaque) is the source of this 100-nucleotide microRNA precursor. NCBI's taxonomy places the organism in Eukaryota, Metazoa, Chordata, Mammalia, Primates, Cercopithecidae. The record is from Ensembl.